GUAAAAAAGCGCAGUGGACAGAGCAGAUUGAAAUAUUGCUUUCUACAUGUUUAUGCCCGUCUAUACAGGUGAGUGCAUUGGCCAGUAUUGACAUUUUACUCACAGAGGUUUUAUUGUAGCCUA
Etheostoma spectabile (orangethroat darter) is the source of this 123-nucleotide long non-coding RNA. RefSeq lists it as uncharacterized. The record is from RefSeq and is a predicted model, not a curated record. The transcript is spliced from 3 exons. NCBI's taxonomy places the organism in Eukaryota, Metazoa, Chordata, Actinopteri, Perciformes, Percidae.